GAAGGGACCUAGCGUAGUUCGGAAUUACUGGGCUUAAAGAGCACGUAGGUGGUUAAGAAAGUUGGUGGUGAAAUCCCAAGGCUUAACCUUGGAACUGCCACCAAAACUUUUUAACUAGAGUAUGAUUGAGGUAAGCGGAAUUUCUAGUGUAGAGGUGAAAUUCGUAGAUAUUAGAAAGAACACCAAUUGCGAAGGCAGCUUUCUGGAUCAUUACUGACACUGAGGUGCGAAAGCAUGGGUAGCGAAGAGGAUUAGAUACCCUCGUAGUCCAUGCUGUAAACGAUGUGUGCUAGACGUUGGGAAUUUAUUUUUCAGUGUCGCAGCAAAAGCGUUAAGCACACCGCCUGGGAAGUACGACCGCAAGGUUAAAACUCAAAUGAAUUGACGGGGACCCGCACAAGUAGUGGAGCAUGUGGUUUAAUUCGAAGAUACGCGCAGAACCUUACCAACACUUGACAUGUUCGUCGCGACUCUAAGAGAUUAGAGUUUUCGGUUCGGCCGGACGAAACACAGGUGCUGCAUGGCUGUCGUCAGCUCGUGUCGUGAGAUGUUGGGUUAAGUCCCGCAACGAGCGCAACCCUUACUUUUAGUUGCUACCAUUUAGUUGGGCACUCUAAAAGAACUGCCAGUGAUAAGCUGGAGGAAGGUGGGGAUGACGUCAAGUCCUCAUGGCCCUUAUGUGUUGGGCUACACACGUGCUACAAUGGUAUUUACAGUGGGAAGCAAAGAGGCAACUCCAAGCAAACCCUCAAAAAAUACCUCAGUUCGGAUUGUACUCUGCAACUCGAGUACAUGAAGCUGGAAUUACUAGUAAUCGCGGAUCAGCGCGCCGCGGUGAAUACGUUCCCCGGGUCUU
Molecule: ribosomal RNA, 856 nt
Filed under: uncultured organism
Description: bacterial SSU rRNA
Rfam family: Bacterial small subunit ribosomal RNA
Source: RNAcentral